This 1020-nucleotide long non-coding RNA is filed under the name Salmo trutta (river trout). RNAcentral's name for it is "lncRNA (ENSSTUG00000007693.1)". Lineage: Eukaryota; Metazoa; Chordata; Actinopteri; Salmoniformes; Salmonidae. The record is from RNAcentral.
CUAAAAUGACGAAAAAGCUAGCUAACUAACACAACACUACACUAAUCAAGUCCCAUUAGUUUCCAUUACAGCCUGGAUAUUAAUGCUAACAGUCUCUACAGUCCCAUUAGUUUCCAUUACAGCCUGGAUAUUAAUGCUAACAGUCUCUACAGUCCCAUUAGUUUCCAUUACAGCCUGGAUAUUAAUGCUAACAGUCUCUACAGUCCCAUUAGUUUCCAUUACAGCCUGGAUAUUAAUGCUAACAGUCUCUACAGUCCCAUUAGUUUCCAUUACAGCCUGGAUAUUAAUGCUAACAGUCUCUACAGUCCCAUUAGUUUCCAUUACAGCCUGGAUAUUAAUGCUAACAGUCUCUACAGUCCCAUUAGUUUCCAUUACAGCCUGGAUAUUAAUGCUAACAGUCUCUAUAGUCCCAUUAGUUUCCAUUACAGCCUGGAUAUUAAUACCAACACAGUCUCUACAGUCCCAUUAGUUUCCAUUACAGCCUGGAUAUUAAUGAUAACAGUCUCUACAGUCCCAUUAGUUUCCAUUACAGCCUGGAUAUUAAUGCUAACAGUCUCUACAGUCCCAUUAGUUUCCAUUACAGCCUGGAUAUUAAUGCUAACAGUCUCUACAGUCCCAUUAGUUUCCAUUACAGCCUGGAUAUUAAUGCUAAAAGUCUCUACAGUCCCAUUAGUUUCCAUUACAGCCUGGGUAUUAAUGCCAACAGUCACUACAGUCCCAUUAGUUUUCAUUGCAGCCUCGUUUGAAUGCCUCGGUUGCACAAAUUUGUACAGAAUGGAGUUAGUCAACAGUAGUAAAGUCAUGAGUUGUGAUUAUGGUUCAUUGUUUACCAAGAUAGCUAAUGUUAGCUGGCUGGCUCACUAGCUAACGCUACGUGUAUGACCUUAUUAUUCCUAUCUCAGAGCCAUUUGCUUAGCUAGCUAUAGCCUAAUGUUAGCUAGCUAGGCAAAUAAUGAACCAUAAUCACAACUCAUGAUGUUACUACUGUUGACUAACUCCAACCUGGUUGGUUAGCUACAG